This 1211-nucleotide ribosomal RNA is filed under the name metagenome. RNAcentral describes it as "SSU rRNA". It matches the Rfam family "Eukaryotic small subunit ribosomal RNA", at positions 504 to 1774 of the family's 1831-position model. The record is from RNAcentral.
CGGUAUUGCAAUGAGAACAAUUUAAAACCCUUAGCGAGAAUCAAGUGGAGGACAAGUCUGGUGCCAGCACCCGCGGUAAUUCCAGCUCCACUAGCGUAUAUUAAAGUUGUUGCAGUUAAAAAGCUCGUAGUUGAACCUCUGUCUGGGCUAGUUUUGGCUUUGGUCAGGCUAGUUCUAGGCAUCCGCCUACAAGACUUAGAGGGCAUUCAGUUGUUCACUAGGAGGAGUAGGCAUUUUACUUUGAAAAAAUUAGAGUGUUUAAGGCAGGCAAUUGCCCGCAUAUAUUAGCAUGGAAUAAUAGAAUAGGACACUUUUCCAUUUCGUUGGUUAUUGGAAUCGUGUAAUGAUUAAUAGGGACAGUUGUGGGCAUUUGUAUUUAAUUGUCAGAGGUGAAAUUCUUGGAUUUAUUAAAGACAAACUAGCGCGAAAGCAUUUGCCAAGGAUGUUUUCAUUAAUCAAGAACGAAAGUUAGGGGAUCAAAGACGAUCAGAUACCGUCCUAGUCUUAACUAUAAACUAUUCCGACUCAAUGUUUGACUGGCUUAUAUAACCAGUUGAGCGUUGUAUGAGAAAUCAAAGUCUUUAGGUUCUGGGGGGAGUAUGGUUGCAAAGCUGAAACUUAAAGGAAUUGACGGGAGAGCACAACCAGGAGUGGAUUCUGCGGCUUAAUUUGACUCAACACGGGGAAACUUACCAGGUUAAAACAAUAGUGGGAUUGACAGUUUGAGAGCGCUUUCUUGAUUGGUUGGGUGGUGGUGCAUGGCCGUUCUUAGUUGGUGGAGUGAUUUGUCUGCUUAAUUGCGUUAACGAACGAGACCUUAACCUGCUUACUAGACUGGCGAUCAUCAAUCGUUAGCUCUUCUUAGAGGGACUUUGGUUGUUUUAACUCCAAGGAAGUUUGAGGCAAUAACGGGUCUGUGAUGCCCUUAGAUAUCCUGGGCCGCACGCGUCAUACAAUGACUAGUUCAGAAAGUUUUCUCCUGACCCGAAAGGGGAUGGGUAAUCUUGAUAAUACUAGUCGUGUUAGGGAUCGAUCUUUGCAAUUAUAGAUCUUGAACGAGGAAUUCCUAGUAAGUGCGGUUCAUCAGACCGUACUGAUUACGUCCCUGCUCUUUGUACACACCGCCCGUCGCUUCUACCGAGUGGGUGGUCCGGUGAGAUAAUUGAACUUCGCAGGUAACUGAGAGGAAAGAUUAUCAAACCUAUCCACCU